Molecule: ribosomal RNA, 429 nt
Filed under: Chloroflexota bacterium
Lineage: Bacteria; Bacillati; Chloroflexota
Description: Chloroflexi bacterium partial 16S ribosomal RNA
Rfam family: Bacterial small subunit ribosomal RNA
Source: RNAcentral
UGGGGAAUAUUGCACAAUCGGCGCAAGCCUGAUGCAGCCAUGCCGCGUGUAUGAAGAAGGCCUUCGGGUUGUAAAGUACUUUCAGCGGGGAGGAAGGGAGUAAAGUUAAUACCUUUGCUCAUUGACGUUACCCGCAGAAGAAGCACCGGCUAACUCCGUGCCAGCAGCCGCGGUAAUACGGAGGGUGCAAGCGUUAAUCGGAAUUACUGGGCGUAAAGCGCACGCAGGCGGUUUGUUAAGUCAUAUGUGAAAUCCCCGGGCUCAACCUGGGAACUGCAUCUGAUACUGGCAAGCUUGAGUCUCGUAGAGGGGGGUAGAAUUCCAGGUGUAGCGGUGAAAUGCGUAGAGAUCUGGAGGAAUACCGGUGGCGAAGGCGGCCCCCUGGACGAAGACUGACGCUCAGAUGCGAAAGCGUGGGGAGCAAACAGG